Molecule: non-coding RNA, 216 nt
Organism: Pelobates cultripes (western spadefoot toad)
Lineage: Eukaryota; Metazoa; Chordata; Amphibia; Anura; Pelobatidae
Source: the annotation of a GenBank genome assembly
ACACACUUUUAAUUAAAGAGCUUGAACUUUCAACAAAUAAUUAAAUUUUUCAACUACAUUUUAUGUAAGAAAUUUAUCUCAGUGAGAAACCCGAAUCAGAAUAUCACAUCACGAGUUGUGUUGUCGCUCGGGAUAUGCGGAGCUGCUGUAAUCAAAUAUCAGCCUUCUCCAUUCAUCAUAUACUGUUUCUCCCUAAGGAGGAACAGGUAAGGAUUG